GAACUGCGAUAAUUAAUGUGAAUUGCAGAAUUCAGUGAAUCAUCGAGUCUUUGAACGCACAUUGCGCCCCCUGGUAUUCCGGGGGGCAUGCCUGUCCGAGCGUCAUUGCUGCCCUCAAGCACGGCUUGUGUGUUGGGCUUCCGUCCCUGGCAACGGGGACGGGCCCAAAAGGCAGUGGCGGCACCAUGUCUGGUCCUCGAGCGUAUGGGGCUUUGUCACCCGCUCCCGUAGGUCCAGCUGGCAGCUAGCCUCGCAACCAAUCUUUUUAACCAGGUUGACCUCGGAUCAGGUAGGGAUACCCGCUGAACUUAAGC
RNAcentral lists this unclassified non-coding RNA (314 nucleotides) under plant metagenome. Its description in RNAcentral is "partial contains 5.8S ribosomal RNA, internal transcribed spacer 2, and large subunit ribosomal RNA". The stretch from base 1 to 105 matches the Rfam family "5.8S ribosomal RNA", at positions 50 to 154 of the family's 154-position model. The record is from RNAcentral.